GUAUCAUCUUAGUCAAUAACAUUUUUGCAACGCCAUACAAACGCUCCACACCGCGUGGCCGCUGCCACUCUAACCUGGUGGUCCCAGCGCGCACGACCCACGUGGAGUUCCAGGUCUCCAGCAGCCUCUGGAACUGCCGGUCUGCGGCCAACAAGGCAGAGUUCAUCUCAGCCUAUGCUACCCUCCAGUCCCUAGACUUCCUGGCGCUGACGGAAACAUGGAUCACCACAGAUAACACUGCUACUCCUACUGCUCUCUCCUCGUCUGACUACGUGUUCUCGCAUACCCCUAGAGCAUCGAGCCAGCGGGGUGGUGGCACUGGAAUCCUCAUCUCUCCCAAGUGGACAUUCUCUCUUUCUCCCCUGACCCAUCUGUCUAUCUCCUCAUUUGAAUUCCAUGCUGUCACAGUUACCAGCCCUUUCAAGCUUAACAUCCUUAUCAUUUAUCGCCCUCCAGGUUCCCUUGGAGAGUUCAUCAAUGAGCUUGACGCCUUGAUAAGUUCCUUUCCUGAGGAUGGCUCACCUCUCACAGUUCUGG
This 537-nucleotide long non-coding RNA is filed under the name Salmo salar (Atlantic salmon). RNAcentral's name for it is "lncRNA (ENSSSAG00000090647.1)". The record is from RNAcentral. Lineage: Eukaryota; Metazoa; Chordata; Actinopteri; Salmoniformes; Salmonidae.